CAUUUCCUAUAUAUGUGUUCAAUGGUUUGGAAUAGUUCACCAGUGAAGUCAUCUCAACCAGCACAGGGCCUUGACUCCUAACAACAAUCACACGAACUUGGAAGAGGAGCCUUCCCCACCUGAACCUUCACUUGAGACCUCGUCCUUGGCCAUCCUCUACAUCUGGAUUCAUGAUACAGAGAAACUUGAGUAAUGAUGACAAUAGCAGUCCAGUGUGCAUGGAUGCUGACGUGGAUGCUGUCUCCCAUUCUUACCACUGGAUGGGAAGAAAUGAUAGAUGCAAUCCAGCCAUUGUGUUCUCGACUCUCAGUUCCAUCUUCUCAACUGACAUUGUCUUCCAAAGUCCGUGCCACACCACAGCCUGGAACAUCUCCCAAAGUGGUAUCUUGAUGCAAUGGUAGAGCUCAUGUCACAGUAUUGUAUGUCUCAGGUUUGAAUAACUCACCAGUGAAGUCAUCUUGACCUGGACAGAAAUUGAAUCCUCCCGAGAAUCCCAGGAGCUGGAAUGUUUCCAAACAAAGUCACUAAAACAACACGCAUUCAAGAAGUGGG
Molecule: long non-coding RNA, 552 nt
Filed under: Homo sapiens (human)
Lineage: Eukaryota; Metazoa; Chordata; Mammalia; Primates; Hominidae
Description: HSALNT0217438
Source: RNAcentral